AGUGAACGCUGGCGGUAGGCCUAACACAUGCAAGUCGAACGGCAGCACAGUAAGAGCUUGCUCUUACGGGUGGCGAGUGGCGGACGGGUGAGGAAUACAUCGGAAUCUACUUUUUCGUGGGGGAUAACGAAGGGAAACUUACGCUAAUACCGCAUACGCUCUACGGGUGAAAGCAGGGGAUCUUCGGACCUUGCGCGAUUGAAUGCGCCGAUGUCGGAGUAGCUAGUUGGCGGGGUAAAGGCCCACCAAGGCGACGAUACGUAGCUGGUCUGAGAGGAUGAUCAGCCACACUGGAACUGAGACACGGUCCAGACUCCUACGGGAGGCAGCAGUGGGGAAUAUUGGACAAUGGGCGCAAGCCUGAUCCAGCCAUACCGCGUGGGUGAAGAAGGCCUUCGGGUUGUAAAGCCCUUUUGUUGGGAAAGAAAAGCAGCAGGUUAAUACCCCGCUGUUCUGACGGUACCCAAAGAAUAAGCACCGGCUAACUUCGUG
RNAcentral lists this ribosomal RNA (492 nucleotides) under uncultured bacterium. RNAcentral's name for it is "partial 16S ribosomal RNA". It matches the Rfam family "Bacterial small subunit ribosomal RNA", at positions 29 to 507 of the family's 1533-position model. The record is from RNAcentral.